CUGGGGAUCUGCCCGAUAGAGGGGGAUAACCACUGGAAACGGUGGCUAAUACCGCAUAACGUCGCAAGACCAAAGAGGGGGACCUUCGGGCCUCUCACUAUCAGAUGAACCCAUAUGGGAUUAUCUAGUACGCGGGGUAAUGGCCCACCUACGCGACUAUCCCUAUCUGGUCUGAGAAGAUGACCACCCACACUGGAACUGACACACGGUCCACACUCCUACGGGAGGCAGCAGUGGGGAAUAUUGCACAAUGGGCGCAAGCCUGAUGCACCCAUGCCGCGUGUAUGAAGAAGGCCUUCGGGUUGUAAAGUACUUUCAGCGGGGAAGAAGGCGGUGCGGUUAAUAACCGCGUCUAUUGACGUUACCCGCAGAAGAAGCACCGGCUAACUCCGUGCCAGCAGCCGCGGUAAUACAGAGGGUGCAAGCGUUAAUC
RNAcentral lists this ribosomal RNA (433 nucleotides) under Pantoea sp. F189. RNAcentral describes it as "bacterial SSU rRNA". It matches the Rfam family "Bacterial small subunit ribosomal RNA", at positions 117 to 546 of the family's 1533-position model. The record is from RNAcentral. Lineage: Bacteria; Pseudomonadati; Pseudomonadota; Gammaproteobacteria; Enterobacterales; Erwiniaceae.